Molecule: ribosomal RNA, 253 nt
Filed under: uncultured bacterium
Lineage: Bacteria
Description: partial 16S ribosomal RNA
Rfam family: Bacterial small subunit ribosomal RNA
Source: RNAcentral
GACAGAGGUGCCGAGCGUUAGGCGGAAUCACUGGGCUUAAAGCGUGUGUAGGCGGGUCGUUAAGUGUCUUGUGAAAUCCCACCGCUCAACGGUGGAACCGCUGGGCAUACUGGCGAUCUUGAGCAGUCCAGGGGCGAGCGGAACAAGCGGUGGAGCGGUGAAAUGCGUAGAUAUCGCUUGGAACGCCGACGGUGAAAACAGCUCGCUGGGGACUCGCUGACGCUGAGGCACGAAAGCCAGGGGAGCGAACGGG